This 485-nucleotide ribosomal RNA is filed under the name uncultured bacterium. RNAcentral describes it as "partial 16S ribosomal RNA". It matches the Rfam family "Bacterial small subunit ribosomal RNA", at positions 30 to 507 of the family's 1533-position model. The record is from RNAcentral.
AUUGAACGCUGGCGGCAGGCUUAACACAUGCAAGUCGAGCGGGGAGAUGUAGCUUGCUACAUAUCCUAGCGGCGGACGGGUGAGUAAUGCUUAGGAAUCUGCCUAUUAGUGGGGGACAACAUUCCGAAAGGAAUGCUAAUACCGCAUACGUCCUACGGGGGAAAGCAGGGGAUCUUCGGACCUUGCGCUAAUAGAUGAGCCUAAGUCGGAUUAGCUAGUUGGUGGGGUAAAGGCCUACCAAGGCGACGAUCUGUAGCGGGUCUGAGAGGAUGAUCCGCCACACUGGGACUGAGACACGGCCCAGACUCCUACGGGAGGCAGCAGUGGGGAAUAUUGGACAAUGGGCGCAAGCCUGAUCCAGCCAUGCCGCGUGUGUGAAGAAGGCCUUUUGGUUGUAAAGCACUUUAAGCGAGGAGGAGGCUCCUUUAGUUAAUACCUAAAGAGAGUGGACGUUACUCGCAGAAUAAGCACCGGCUAACUCUGUG